AACGCACGAGACCUGCGGACCUGCGGAGGGAUCAUUAACGUGCUACGGAGGUCUCUUCGAAGGGGGGGAUCUACGUCUGCCCACCCUUGAUUUCCUGACCUGUUGCUUUGGCGGGUCCGCUAUGAGGAGGUCUGAAAAAAACUUGAGUUUUCGGGCUUAUAUUUCGCCAGAGUUUCUCUAAAUCCUGGAUAAAAAGGUUAUGCUGUCUGAGCGUGCAAGCGCAAAUUUAUAUAAAACUUU
RNAcentral lists this unclassified non-coding RNA (240 nucleotides) under soil metagenome. RNAcentral's name for it is "partial contains 5.8S ribosomal RNA, internal transcribed spacer 2, and large subunit ribosomal RNA". The record is from RNAcentral.